This 497-nucleotide ribosomal RNA is filed under the name uncultured bacterium. Its description in RNAcentral is "partial 16S ribosomal RNA". It matches the Rfam family "Bacterial small subunit ribosomal RNA", at positions 28 to 507 of the family's 1533-position model. The record is from RNAcentral.
GAUGAACGCUGGCGGCGUGCCUAACACAUGCAAGUCGAACGGAAAGACGAGGAGCUUGCGCCCUUGAGGGUAGCGGGGGACGGGAGCGUGACAGGUACCUAACCUUCAUAUUAGACUGGGAUAACUACGGGGGGCCGAAUACAAUACAGGAGCAUAUGUUGAACGGCAGGGGUCAGUAGUGAUAGGCGGUUUUGGAGUCACUCAUAGCUGGUUCCGGGCCGGAUUAGCUAGUUGGUCAGGUAACGGCUUACCAAGGCGCCGACUCGUAGCCGAACUGAGAGGGUGAUAGGCCACACUGGAACUGAGACACGGUCCAUACUCCUACGGGAGGCAGCAGUCUGGAAUCGUCGGCAAUGGGCGGAAGCCUGACGCAGCGAGGCCGCGUGAGUGAUGAAGGCCUUCGGUUCGUAAAGCCCUGUUAUUGGGUAAGAACAGCUGUGGACUGAACCAUGGCCGUCGUGACGGUACCUAAUCAAAAAGCACCGGCUAACUACGUG